ACCUGACGUGGCCUGAAGAGACAGACAAUGGCUCUUGCUAGCUAAUUAUUGUCAGAUGGAUCGGCAGCCGACCAACGCUUCUGAAAUUAUUGUUUUUGGCAAAUGUUCCUCAACAUUUUCCUGGGAGCUAUGGUGCAUUACUCACGAGUGACAGAACCAACGAGCUUCAUCUCCCAAGAGGCUGGUGCAUCUGUUUAAAGGAGCAAGCGUUAUGCAGAGCCACCCCCACUCCACCCUCCAUGGCAGAGUGCAGUGGGGGAAGAAGUUUUCAUAGAAAUGCUUUCUAUAAAGCAUUUUCAUAGAGAAAGCAGGUUCAUAUAGAAAGCAUUGGCUGCUGGUUGGAGUGGAGAGAUUGAAGACCCUCAUCUAGGAUCAAGCAACCCCCAGAAAACAAUUUUAAACAUGUCCAUUCAGACAAAAGGAGUCCAAAACCAUAAGAUCCUCUCAGCAUCCUGAACUAAUGUCCAGCUGUUAUCUCGGGAUGGGAUUUCACCAUGUUGUCCAAGCUGGUUUUGAACUCCUGGGCUCAAGAAAUCCA
This 538-nucleotide long non-coding RNA is filed under the name Pongo abelii (Sumatran orangutan). RNAcentral's name for it is "lincRNA". The record is from RNAcentral. Lineage: Eukaryota; Metazoa; Chordata; Mammalia; Primates; Hominidae.